This 236-nucleotide long non-coding RNA is filed under the name Ananas comosus (pineapple). Its description in RNAcentral is "long non-coding RNA (ACOM_LNC010496)". Lineage: Eukaryota; Viridiplantae; Streptophyta; Magnoliopsida; Poales; Bromeliaceae. The record is from RNAcentral.
GUGAAGUAUUAAUUUUUUUUCUUUUUCUUUUUUUUUUUGUUCAUAUUUUUUAAGAAAUAAAUAUAGUUAGAAAUGUGAAAUAGCUAAAUUUCAAAUUUGAAAUAUAGAGUACUAAAUAUUAAGUCUUUUGUUGUUUACUGACGGAAUGACUGAUACCCGAGAUUUUAGGUUCGAAAUCUUAAUUUUUUCAUAUUUUCGGUUAAAUUUAUUUUGAACGGCCAAAUAAGUUCAGUAUU